AUUUAUUCGAAGGGAGUGACUGGGGCUUUGGAUGCGCCGACAGUGAAGCACUCUUCAAUUUAAGCUUAAGAUUUUGAUUGUUCAGAGGCUCUACGCGAAGGGAAGACAUUGGUUUAAUUGUUCGUGACACUCGCUCGGCAUCGAGAGUACGAUCCAGGUUCCAGUUCUACACCCCGUGGCUGAUGCGCGAGGGUGAUAUCUUUCAGUCAUUCAGGGUGAGCUACUUGGUCGUCUGUGGCCCCUGAAGGACCUCCUCUAUUUAUUUUUGUUUUUGUAUUCGACAGACAAUAUGUAGCCUUCGGGUAUUUUCAGACUUCUAUUCCGUACCAUGUUAGCGCUCUUGUACCCUUUGACCACUUUUUGGGAUUGUCGUGACAUUUCUAGUUAUGAUAAGUAUUUAAGACUUGAUAACUUAUUCUUAUUAAAUUUUCCGCUUAUUUAACCUGUCAAUAGUAAUGUGGUUCGCCUACUCGGAGUGAUAGUGUAGGUGCCACCACGACUCGCGAAUUGGGUCGUGACAGACAACCAUAUAGUAUGUGGCUUACAAGAACAUUAGGUUUUUAUAUAAAAAAAAUGAUAUGUAUUUUUAGCUGUUAAGUUGAAAAAACAUUAUGUAUUUGUAAAAUACAUAGUUUACAGAUGUUAAUGAUGUCAAUAUUUGAAGGCCACUUUUUGAUAUUCAAUGAAAUUUUCUUGUUUCUGAAUAGUAUGUUCAACAAUUAAAUAAUUGUCAACAUUAAUAGUAAUCUUAAAAAAAAAAAAAACUGCACAUUCAUUUCACAAAAUUAUAAUCCAACAUCAAUCUAAUACAUCUAAAACAACAAACUAGCUACUAAAGAAAAAAAAGAACAAAAAUAUCGUUUAUCCUAACAUAAUUGUUCAAACAUCAUGAACAUCAACAGUGUUGUAAUCUAUCUCAGUCCUAAUUGGUCUUGGUGGAACCUCACUAUCAGUCUCAGCAUUGUUGGCCAACUUGGCUUCGGCGUAUCUCGACAAAAGAGUGCCAUAUCUCAUACGCAGCAUAUGUGCAUCAAUAUUAUCUGGCAUACUCCCAGCCGUUGGAGGAUGUUUCAACAUGAAUUUAGAUCCCUGAAAACAUAAUUAAUAAUAUGAGAACAAAUACACAUCGUACACUAAAAAAUACAUAUGACGGAAUAUUAAAAAAAACACAAAAAAAUAAAUAAAUUACUGGUUCUUAAAAUUUUAAAAAUACAACACAAAAAUAAACAUACAUACUUUAGAAAAAAUGUUCCCAUAAGAAGCAAGUUAAAAAAACAACCCAAAAUACAUAAAUAACAAAACAUAUAUAUUUAGACCUAAGUUUUAUUUCCAGAAAAAUAGACAUACAUAUAAUGAAAAAUAUCUGAGAAAAUACUGGAUGUCAACAAAUACACAAAUACACAAUAAAAACUGAAAAAUACAACAUCUAUCUCGCAAAAACAUACAAGUCUCACAACUAAAAAAAUCAACACAUACAUUCAUAUAGAUUAACGUAUGUGUUUAAAACAUAAAUAUAAACUGAAAAUAUGAUAAAUCGGCUCAACAUGAAAAUCAAAAAAAGAAUAAUCAAAACAUACAUUCAUAAAAAAUUAUGUAUGCGUUCAAAUACAUAAUCAAAAAAUAAAAAAAAAUUGACAAAAUACUUGAUUCUUCACUGAUAAUUUUGCUGUUGGUAAAUCUUCAUCAACAACAACAUUCUUCCCCUUUUUAGCAUAAUCAACUCCAGAUGUAUUUCUCCUCUCUGAUGUUGUAACAGAAGCUUUUUUCAGUCUCAGAAAUACAUAGUUGAAGACUCGCUUUUCUCUUAGGAUCAUGUAUUUUCUUUGAUCUAAUCUCAGCAUAUUCUUUCUCAGCAGAAGCUGAAUCAACAUUGAUUUUUUUGUUGAGAAAUACCCAAAUCAAAGGUCGGAAAAUCUAAAUUUUGAACACUAUGUGUUAUACCUCUAGUUACUCUCCUAUUAGGUGUGGUUUGAUCAGCCAUUAGAAGAAUGAUUUAGUGAUUAACACCUGAAAAUUAAACUUUGAUUUAAGUUAAAAUUAUAAGAACAGUAACAUUAAAAAAUGAAAAAUACACAAUAUAUAUAAAAAUACUUACACAAAUACACAACCACCCGAGAAUU
Lycium barbarum (goji berry) is the source of this 2120-nucleotide long non-coding RNA. RefSeq lists it as uncharacterized. The record is from RefSeq and is a predicted model, not a curated record. Lineage: Eukaryota; Viridiplantae; Streptophyta; Magnoliopsida; Solanales; Solanaceae. The transcript is spliced from 3 exons.